CGCACAUUGCGCCCUCUGGUAUUCCGGAGGGCAUGCCUGUUCGAGCGUCAUUAUCACCCCUCAAGCCUGGCUUGGUGUUGGAUCUCGGUCGCGCGAGUGACCGGUCCCAAAGACAAUGACGGCGUCUGUUGGACCCUCGGUGCAAUGAGCUUUAACCAGCACGCACUCGAGUUGCAAGGACCUUCGGCCCGGUCUCCUUUUAACUAUUUUUACAAGGUUGACCUCGGAUCAGGUAGGAAUACCCGCUUAACUUAA
Molecule: unclassified non-coding RNA, 255 nt
Filed under: Exophiala sp.
Lineage: Eukaryota; Fungi; Ascomycota; Eurotiomycetes; Chaetothyriales; Herpotrichiellaceae
Description: partial contains 5.8S ribosomal RNA, internal transcribed spacer 2, and large subunit ribosomal RNA
Source: RNAcentral